AAAUGAAUAGACGGGGGCCCGCACAAGCGGAGGAACAUGUGGUUUAAUUCGAUGAUACGCGAGGAACCUUACCCGGGCUUGAAAUGCAGAGGAAUAAUUUGGAAACAGGUUAGCCAGCAAUGGUCUCUGUGUAGGUGCUGCAUGGUUGUCGUCAGCUCGUGCCGUGAGGUGUCGGCUUAAGUGCCAUAACGAGCGCAACCCUUAUUGUUAGUUACUAACAGGUAAAGCUGAGGACUCUAACGAGACUGCCACCGUAAGGUGUGAGGAAGGUGGGGAUGACGUCAAAUCAGCACGGCCCUUACGUCCGGGGCGACACACGUGUUACAAUGGGAGGAACAGAAGGCAGCGACCUGGCGACAGGAAGCCAAUCUUAUAAAACCUCUCUCAGUUCGGAUCGGAGUCUGCAACCCGACUCCGUGAAGCUGGAUUCGCUAGUAAUCGCGCAUCAGCCAUGGCGCGGUGAAUACGUUCCCGGGCCUUGUACACACCGCCCGU
RNAcentral lists this ribosomal RNA (495 nucleotides) under uncultured bacterium. RNAcentral describes it as "bacterial SSU rRNA". It matches the Rfam family "Bacterial small subunit ribosomal RNA", at positions 903 to 1397 of the family's 1533-position model. The record is from RNAcentral.